RNAcentral lists this ribosomal RNA (391 nucleotides) under uncultured bacterium. RNAcentral describes it as "bacterial SSU rRNA". It matches the Rfam family "Bacterial small subunit ribosomal RNA", at positions 116 to 518 of the family's 1533-position model. The record is from RNAcentral.
CGUGAGCAACCUGCCUUUCAGAGGGGAAUAACGUUUGGAAACAGACGGCUAAUACCGCAUAACGCAUAGGAGUCGCAUGGCUUUUAUGCCAAAAGGAGCAAUCCGGACUGAAAGAUGGGCUCGCGUCCGAUUAGAUAGUUGGUGGGGUAACGGCCUACCAAGUCGACGAUCGGUAGCCGGACUGAGAGGUUGAACGGCCACAUGGGACUGAGACACGGCCCAGACUCCUACGGGAGGCAGCAGUGGGGGAUAUUGCACAAUGGGCGAAAGCCUGAUGCAGCAACGCCGCGUGAGGGAAGACGGUUUUCGGAUUGUAAACCUCUGUCUUUGGUGACGAAGAAAUGACGGUAGCCGAGGAGGAAGCCACGGCUAACUACGUGCCAGCCGCCGC